RNAcentral lists this transfer RNA (69 nucleotides) under Gnathodentex aureolineatus (striped large-eye bream). RNAcentral describes it as "tRNA-His". It matches the Rfam family "tRNA". From Rfam's summary of the family: Transfer RNA (tRNA) molecules are approximately 80 nucleotides in length. Lineage: Eukaryota; Metazoa; Chordata; Actinopteri; Spariformes; Lethrinidae. The record is from RNAcentral.
GUGGAAAUAGUUUAACGAAAACAUUAGAUUGUGAUUCUAAAAACAGAGGUUAAAGUCCUCUUUUCCACC